Molecule: ribosomal RNA, 497 nt
Filed under: uncultured bacterium
Lineage: Bacteria
Description: partial 16S ribosomal RNA
Rfam family: Bacterial small subunit ribosomal RNA
Source: RNAcentral
GAUUAACGCUGGCGGCGUGCCUAAUACAUGCAAGUCGAGCGAACAGACGAGGAGCUUGCUCCUCUGACGUUAGCGGCGGACGGGUGAGUAACACGUGGAUAACCUACCUAUAAGACUGGGAUAACUUCGGGAAACCGGAGCUAAUACCGGAUAACAUGUUGAACCGCAUGGUUCAACAGUGAAAGACGGUCUUGCUGUCACUUAUAGAUGGAUCCGCGCCGCAUUAGCUAGUUGGUAAGGUAACGGCUUACCAAGGCAACGAUGCGUAGCCGACCUGAGAGGGUGAUCGGCCACACUGGAACUGAGACACGGUCCAGACUCCUACGGGAGGCAGCAGUAGGGAAUCUUCCGCAAUGGGCGAAAGCCUGACGGAGCAACGCCGCGUGAGUGAAGAAGGUCUUCGGAUCGUAAAACUCUGUUAUUAGGGAAGAACAAAUGUGUAAGUAACUAUGCACGUCUUGACGGUACCUAAUCAGAAAGCCACGGCUAACUACGUG